This 29-nucleotide non-coding RNA is filed under the name Cricetulus griseus (Chinese hamster). Lineage: Eukaryota; Metazoa; Chordata; Mammalia; Rodentia; Cricetidae. The record is from RNAcentral.
ACACAUGGGCUGAAUUUUGAAAAGAGAAA